CGGGAUUGGGAGGAGCCUGUGCGUACUCUUAUUCCGCCAGAAGUGGUUGGUGCGACUCAUGUCCGGGAUUCGGAUCGCCCAAGGCAGGAUGUACGAAAGAGACGCAGCACAGCCAGGCCACAACCCACACUGCCAAGAGAUGCAGAUGCUGGCGAUGCAGGUCCUUCUUCAUCAAACACCCCUCCACUAAGACGACCAUCACAGGGCU
This is a long non-coding RNA of Pseudophryne corroboree (corroboree frog), 208 nucleotides long. RefSeq lists it as uncharacterized. Lineage: Eukaryota; Metazoa; Chordata; Amphibia; Anura; Myobatrachidae. The transcript is spliced from 3 exons. The record is from RefSeq and is a predicted model, not a curated record.